Molecule: long non-coding RNA, 1999 nt
Filed under: Malus domestica (apple)
Lineage: Eukaryota; Viridiplantae; Streptophyta; Magnoliopsida; Rosales; Rosaceae
Description: long non-coding RNA (MDOM_LNC009971)
Source: RNAcentral
UCAGCUCUCUAACUCUCCCACUUUCUCCCCGAUCGAACCCACACCACCUACGCAAACUUGAGACACCCACACCCCGACGACGGCGCGCCACCACCACCGGCUUCGUGGGCUCUCUCUCUCUCACCCUCACUCGUCUCUAUGGAGCUCAGCGAAGCCCAGCAACCCAGGAAACCCCGACGGACUCCCGUGCGUUUCAAACGAAAUUCCGGCCACCCCCGACCUUUUCUCGGCAAACCAAGGGUAGCAACCUCUUCUCAUUGUCUCACUUUUCAAGUUGACACUUAGAUCGGAGUCUAGGGUUACGUUUUGGUGUCGACCGAAGCACGGGAGGCUCCGGCCUCCAUCCCCGGCGAGGAAUGGGUCACUGACCCAAGUCCAGUGAACCUAGGCCCUUUUUGGGUCGCAUUAAGAAAUCGGGCCCUAAGCCCGUUUAAACCUGUAUGGCCCAAACCCUUUUAUGUUUAUUUAUAUUGUUUUAUUUUAUAACCCAAAAACAAUCGGGCCAGGCCUCAAUGCCUAGCCCAAUUGGAAACCCCAAACCCUUUCGGUCUUAAGCGUUAAAGCCGUGUAGGCCUAGGCCUUCGGGCCUUUGCAGCCAGCCCACUUAAAAGCCUAGACCCAAAACCCUAUUGGAUCCAGGCCUUUGGGCCAUGGAUCCGGUCCACUAACCUUAGGACCCAAGCCCAAGAACCCGGCCCAGCCUACUGAACCGGUCCGGCUUUUGACCCGGUGUGACCGUUGACCUAGUCAACGAUGACCGUUGACUUUGACCGAUCAACGUUAACAGUUGAUUUUCGGGUUUCAUCCGGAACCCUCUUACGCUAAUUUCGAUGUCCCAGGCCUGUUUUCGAUGUCCUUUUUUCCAAAUUAAAUCGUUUGAGUAGAGUUUAACUAAUUGAACCCUUUUUAUGCUUAGGUGCAUAUAUUGCGGCGCUUAGCCUUUGCUAGUCUGCACAUCUUUUUUAUGGCAAAGUAGUGUGAGUGGACUCCUUCUAAAAUGUAUGUUUUAAUAGUAUAAAUGCAUACAUGAAAACGUGAUUUAAUGAUUAUGUUUUAUGAUACUGAGCUUAUUUUGGAAUACAUAUUUUCUAUCUCAUCCAUGUUCUUGUAGAAUAUUUAAUGGAUGACGAUAUACUAUUUAGAACAUGUUUUUACACACUUCUUUAUAGUAUAGAUGAUGAAUGACUUUAUAUUAUGAAGAUGCUUUUGAGAUAUAUGUACCUAUGUUUGGAAAUAUUAUUUUCAAUGGUUUUGUGCGUAUCUAGUGGUCCCUAUUAUUGACUUUUGGGUUGGGUGUUGUAGGAGUUUUCGAGCGAUUGAUACUUAUAUUGACAUUCGGGUUGGGUGCUGUAGGAGCCUUGGGCGAUUGAUACUUUCGGGUUGGGUGUUGUAGGAGCCUGCAGAUGAUUGAUAUUUGUUAAGGAAGUGUUCUGAAGGAAGAGUUCUAUAUGCUUUCGGACGAUACUGAUAGCACUAGUUAGCAUACUAUAUACGAGAUAUGUUUUAUGAAGUUUUACAGCAUACUAGGAUUUUCGGAAAAACCUAUCACAUAUUGUGCUAUUAGUUUUCAUAAAACUUUAAGAGUUAGUAUGUUGAUAAAUGUUUUAGUAUUAUAUAUAUCAACUUGGUAAACUCAUGUUUGUUUUGCGUCUCUUCAGAACUUAGAAUCGAAGUGUACAAUCUCGGCAUCAAGGCACUUCCGCAUCGGCAUCUUCGAGUCCUCUCGAUGUGGAACCCAUUCCUUUAUUCAUUAAAUUUUAUGUUAUUUCCUUGCUAGUGUCAGUAAAUUAGUUGUAUGCUUUGAACAUGUUCUUCAUUUGCAUAUUAAUUAUAUUUAAAUUUAUAAGUCUUAUUUAUUUCUUGUUCUCAUGCAUCCUAAAUGGCUUGUGUCACCUUCGGGUGUCGGCCAGCACGUACCUACCCUGAUGUUCGGAACGUGUCAUAUGACUAAGGGUUGAAUGGGAAAUCGGGUUGGGACCAGGUUAGACCGAUGAUUCGG